CGUGAGCAGCGCCCUCCGCCCUCCCGCACAGCCAAUUGAGACCUGGAGCCAGCUUAAUCACGCAUUGCUUCCUAGGAAGAGGGGCUAAAAAGGAGGAAUACAAAAGAACCUCACCAUCUCCAUAUCCAUGGAUCAAACUUCAGGCCUCUGCCAGCUCCGAGCUCCUCAUCCCUCAUCCCUGUCUCCUUGCUGUCUGAAUUGCUGGAAUGAAGAUCCCCACUUUUGCAUGCUCAGGAGAGCUGCAACACUCAAAGUGACAGCAGGGAGCUGCAAAUUCUUGAAGGAAUGAGAGAUGCUGUGGAGAAUGGAG
Long non-coding RNA from Melospiza melodia melodia, 310 nucleotides. RefSeq lists it as uncharacterized. NCBI's taxonomy places the organism in Eukaryota, Metazoa, Chordata, Aves, Passeriformes, Passerellidae. The transcript is spliced from 3 exons. The record is from RefSeq and is a predicted model, not a curated record.